RNAcentral lists this ribosomal RNA (593 nucleotides) under uncultured bacterium. RNAcentral's name for it is "partial 16S ribosomal RNA". It matches the Rfam family "Bacterial small subunit ribosomal RNA", at positions 355 to 941 of the family's 1533-position model. The record is from RNAcentral.
UGGGGAAUAUUGGACAAUGGGGGGAACCCUGAUCCAGCCAUGCCGCGUGUGUGAAGAAGGCCUUAUGGUUGUAAAGCACUUUAAGCGAGGAGGAGGCUACUGAGACUAAUACUCUUGGAUAGUGGACGUUACUCGCAGAAUAAGCACCGGCUAACUCUGUGCCAGCAGCCGCGGUAAUACAGAGGGUGCGAGCGUUAAUCGGAUUUACUGGGCGUAAAGCGUGCGUAGGCGGCUUUUUAAGUCGGAUGUGAAAUCCCCGAGCUUAACUUGGGAAUUGCAUUCGAUACUGGGAAGCUAGAGUAUGGGAGAGGAUGGUAGAAUUCCAGGUGUAGCGGUGAAAUGCGUAGAGAUCUGGAGGAAUACCGAUGGCGAAGGCAGCCAUCUGGCCUAAUACUGACGCUGAGGUACGAAAAGCAUGGGGAGCAAACAGGAUUAGAUACCCUGGUAGUCUAUGCCGUAAAACGAUGUCUACUAGCCGUUGGGGCCUUUGAAGGCUUUAGUGGCGCAGCUAACGCGAUAAGUAGACCGCCUGGGGAGUACGGUCGCAAGACUAAAAACUUAAAUGAAUUGACGGGGGUCAUAGCUGUUUCCUG